Molecule: ribosomal RNA, 301 nt
Filed under: uncultured bacterium
Lineage: Bacteria
Description: partial 16S ribosomal RNA
Rfam family: Bacterial small subunit ribosomal RNA
Source: RNAcentral
CAGCCGCCGCGGGAAUACGUAGGUGGCAAGCGUUGUCCGGAAUUAUUAGGCGUAAAGGGCUCGCAGGCGGUUUCUUAAGUCUGAUGUGAAAGCCCCCGGCUCAACCGGGGAGGGUCAUUGGAAACUGGGAAACUUGAGUGCAGAAGAGGAGAGUGGAAUUCCACGUGUAGCGGUGAAAUGCGUAGAGAUGUGGAGGAACACCAGUGGCGAAGGCGACUCUCUGGUCUGUAACUUACGCUGAGGAGCGAAAGCGUGGGGAGCGAACAGGAUUAGAUACCCGGGUAGUCCCUGUCUCUUAUAC